GUUCUACAGGUGUCAAUGUAGAUCAAGCUGUUCAUGUCAUAUGCGGUACUGCGUUUUAGCAGGAUCAGAUGGUGACCAUGACAGGGGUUCCUGUCAGCAGGAUCAGACAGCCAGCAGGAUCAGACAGCCAGGAUCAGGAUCAGAAAAGGUCAACCGUGGAACUGAGAGCUGCAGGAGGUAGGGGUGCUGAGGGGGCGGUAAACCCUCCUGCUUGCCUGGCAGGCCCCCCGGUUAAGAUGGUUAAAACACUAUUGGUAUUUUAUGACUGCCCUGCUGCACCAGAGAUCCACCACAUCUUGUGCUUACAACCUCGCCCACCUGCCUGCUCGGCUGCCAGCCUACCUGCUCUGCCCACACUGCCUGCCCACCCCACCGCCCUGUCUGCCUUACCCCUCUG
Molecule: long non-coding RNA, 397 nt
Organism: Esox lucius (northern pike)
Lineage: Eukaryota; Metazoa; Chordata; Actinopteri; Esociformes; Esocidae
Source: Ensembl